RNAcentral lists this ribosomal RNA (497 nucleotides) under uncultured bacterium. RNAcentral describes it as "partial 16S ribosomal RNA". It matches the Rfam family "Bacterial small subunit ribosomal RNA", at positions 28 to 507 of the family's 1533-position model. The record is from RNAcentral.
GAUGAACGCUGGCGGCGUGCCUAAUACAUGCAAGUCGAGCGAACAGACGAGGAGCUUGCUCCUCUGACGUUAGCGGCGGACGGGUGAGUAACACGUGGAUAACCUACCUAUAAGACUGGGAUAACUUCGGGAAACCGGAGCUAAUACCGGAUAAUAUAUUGAACCGCAUGGUUCAAUAGUUAAAGACGGUUUUGCUGUCACUUAUAGAUUGAUCCGCGCCGCAUUAGCUAGUUGGUAAGGUAACGGCUUACCAAGGCAACGAUGCGUAGCCGACCUGAGAGGGUGAUCGGCCACACUGGAACUGAGACACGGUCCAGACUCCUACGGGAGGCAGCAGUAGGGAAUCUUCCGCAAUGGGCGAAAGCCUGACGGAGCAACGCCGCGUGAGUGAUGAAGGUCUUCGGAUCGUAAAACUCUGUUAUUAGGGAAGAACAAAUGUGUAAGUAACUAUGCACGUCUUGACGGUACCUAAUCAGAAAGCCACGGCUAACUACGUG